AUGGCCCUCUCCUCCUCCCCUCGGUUUCUCUUCUCUUGGCAAAAGGACGGCCGGCGUUCAACUCGGCACGACGGCGUUCAACUUGGCAAAAGGGUGACACCUUCCUUCCUCUCCAAAGCAAGGGAAGGGAAGGGAAGGGGAGGGGAGGCCCCAGAUCGAGGAGCGGAGCGACGCCCAGAUCCGCAGCGGCACUGGCGCGCCGUCAUCCACGUGGUCCUCGAGGAAGGCCAUGGAUGGAUGGGGGCAGAACCCUAG
Molecule: ribosomal RNA, 255 nt
Filed under: Triticum aestivum (bread wheat)
Lineage: Eukaryota; Viridiplantae; Streptophyta; Magnoliopsida; Poales; Poaceae
Description: partial small subunit ribosomal RNA
Source: RNAcentral